AGCGAACGCUGGCGGCGUGCUUAACACAUGCAAGUCGAGCGAGAAAGGGGGCUUCGGCCCCUGAGUACAGCGGCGAACGGGUGAGUAAUACAUGAGCAAUCUAUCCUUGAGGCGGGAAUAACCCAGCGAAAGUUGGGCUAAUACCGGAUGAGACCACAGGAGGAAACUCCAGGGGUCAAAGGCAGCUUUCUUUUGGGAGCGGCCCUUCGAAGAGGAGCUCAUGUCCUANCAGCUAGUUGGUAGGGUAACGGCCUACCAAGGCGAAGACGGGUAGCUGGUCUUAGAGGAUGAUCAGCCACACGGGGACUGAGACACGGCCCCGACUCCUACGGGGGCAGCAGUGGGGAAUAUUGGGCAAUGGGCGAAAGCCUGACCCAGCGACGCCGCGUGGGUGAUGAAGGCCUCGGGUC
RNAcentral lists this ribosomal RNA (410 nucleotides) under uncultured bacterium. RNAcentral's name for it is "bacterial SSU rRNA". It matches the Rfam family "Bacterial small subunit ribosomal RNA", at positions 29 to 424 of the family's 1533-position model. The record is from RNAcentral.